Molecule: long non-coding RNA, 271 nt
Filed under: Fukomys damarensis (Damara mole-rat)
Lineage: Eukaryota; Metazoa; Chordata; Mammalia; Rodentia; Bathyergidae
Description: lncRNA (ENSFDAG00000030246.1)
Source: RNAcentral
GCAACUUUCAGAUAAACAGCCUUUACGACUGGUCAGUGUGGGUAUGCUCCCUUUAAGCCACAUUCUAGCACCCGCCACCCGGAGUAAAGGGGACUCCUCCCCCACACUGGCUGCUAGGUAGUGUGAUGAGAUGCCAUCCCGGCUGCUCCUUCACAGGAUACCUUGUGCACAGUUUUGGGAUGCAAAAUGGGGAUGAUCGCGCCACCCAUCUGAGGAGCACUGAGGACUGAGCGCCCCGAGAUGUACAAAGCAUGAAGAAUGGCGCAGGCGA